AAGUCGUAACAAGGUUUCCGUAGGUGAACCUGCGGAAGGAUCAUUAACACGUAUCCAACGUUAAAACAACCCCCGUGAACUUUCAGCUUGCUCCUGUAGCCCGUGAAAACAGCAAUCCCUGGUAAAUCAUUGUUGACCAGCUUUUGAGUCAGGGACCUCUGCCGAUUGUGAUAUUUUAUAGCUACGGUUGAGCGAUUGCAUCUAGUGACCUGGCAUCCCCAAGUAAUCAGUGUCUGAAAGUGUCAUUGAUUAUGUAAGGAUGGCGCAGUCACGAUCGCUACCGGGUCACCCUUUACGACAACACAGUACGAAUUGGCCGCGCGUGAAAUUCGCACGGCACCAAAAACCGAACAACUGUUAACAAUGGAUAUCUUGGUUCUC
RNAcentral lists this unclassified non-coding RNA (381 nucleotides) under fungal sp. RNAcentral's name for it is "partial internal transcribed spacer region". The stretch from base 1 to 46 matches the Rfam family "Eukaryotic small subunit ribosomal RNA", at positions 1786 to 1831 of the family's 1831-position model. Lineage: Eukaryota; Fungi. The record is from RNAcentral.